Pogoniulus pusillus (Red-fronted tinkerbird) is the source of this 4012-nucleotide RNA transcript. It is a transcript of the gene named TAFA chemokine like family member 2, with no coding region annotated. The transcript is spliced from 8 exons. Lineage: Eukaryota; Metazoa; Chordata; Aves; Piciformes; Lybiidae. The record is from RefSeq and is a predicted model, not a curated record.
AGGGGCAGAGAGAGGGAGGGGAGAAGAGAGCUGAGGGGGCGGGUUAGGUGGGAGCCGGCCCAGCCCCGGUGUGCGUGAGGCUGCCAGCGGAGCCCCACUCUUUAUUCAGGCAGAGCUGCUGUGGCGGGCACCUACUGCCUCGUAAAGAGGCUGAAGAGGAGAGCAGUGAGGAGCCAGAUAAACCCUGGGGAGGAGAAAGGCGUCAUUCCCUCCGCCCCGCGCAAGGUGCGCGUGGAGCUGCCUCUGCUCGUCCCGCCGCCCCUCCGCGGUGCGGCUGCUGCUGAAGGUGAAGCUCGCUCUCCUAUUACUUUCUCCAGGGGGAGAAGGAGGCAGCGAGAGGGAGAUACCGUGCUGUGUGCGAAAGGCAAACCAAUCAGCGAUGCUCUAACGGAGGGAUUGCUGCAGGACGCGACGGCUUUUCUCCCUUUGCCGGCGGGGCUGAAUCGGGACCGCGGGCAGCUGGCGAACGGGCUAGAGCCACACAGGGCUGCAGGACUUCGGCGCCCCUCGCUUUUCUCAUAGCUAAUACGUACUUAGUCCUCUUUUAUUUUGAUUGAUACUCUGAAAUCGCGUACAAGAAACACUUCAAAUCUUGCCUCCCUUUCUACUUGCUUCAUCCUUCCUCUGGCAUCUCUUAGUCGGAUUCCUGGUGUACUCCGAAAGAGGCAGGGGGCAGAUUCGGACCCCGGCGGGACGGCUGCGUGCCCCAGCGCGGCCGAGCCAAGAGGAGCCGAGCCGAGGGGAGCCGCUCCAUGCCCCCGGGCGCUCGCGGGGCGCUUGCCAGCGAUGCCUGGGCGGUGAGGCCGGAGCUCCCCCGCGACGGGAGGCGGCCGAUCGCUAGGUGUUCCCCGCAGGAAGCAGAGCUGCAGGAUGAAUAGGAGAUACUUGCAGAAAGCAACAAAAGGAAAACUGCUAAUAAUAAUAUUUGUUGUAACACUGUGGGGGAAAUUAGCAUCUGGGGCAAAUCAUCAUAAAGCUCACCAUGUUAAAACUGGAACCUGUGAGGUGGUGGCACUCCACAGAUGUUGCAAUAAGAACAAGAUAGAAGAAAGAUCACAGACGGUGAAGUGCUCCUGCUUCCCUGGGCAGGUAGCAGGUACCACACGGGCAGCUCCUUCUUGUGUUGAUGCUUCAAUAGUGGAGCAGAAGUGGUGGUGCCACAUGCAACCAUGUCUUGAAGGAGAGGAGUGUAAAGUUCUGCCAGAUCGUAAAGGAUGGAGCUGUUCCUCUGGGAACAAAGUGAAAACAACUAGGCUGUGGCAGUAUACCUGGAGCCAAAUGUGAGUGCACUACCUCAAAAUGCCAGCAGUGGAAGUUGGUAAGAAAGUGGGGAAAAAUCACCAGAGGAAUCUCUGAAGCUUGGGACAAAGGCAGAAAACACAUCAAUACUGCACUAGCAGAGCAGCAGGUACCCUCAUAGAGAAGAUAAAAUUACAGUCAUUUAUGCCGCCGUGCUGCAGUCCCACUGUGGAGUUGUGAUCGGCACAAAAACCUCAAGAAGCUAUAUCCUUGUCUGAAUUGCUACACUUAUUAUCUGUUACAGAAAGGCAAACGUGUAAAACUCCUCAAGUCCGAAUGGAGAAGUAGAGAAAGGAGGUUUCUGCUGUGCCUGAUGACAAAUUUUGAUUUUUCCACACACACAAAACAUUCUGGCUCCGUGUUGGAGCGCUAGUUGUGAUGAAUUCUAGUCUUGGUCGGAUUCUAAGGAAGGGCCAGAACGUUCGUUGAGGAAUAAAGAGUCAAACCACUCCAGAAAAUGUGUUCCAGCCCUGGUUUAUUACUCACAGAGCAGCAGGUAACUCGAUAGCUAAAGACAAAUCAAGUCAGUCUGAAGGCUGGCAACAUUAAAUGCAACACAGAGGAAUUUCAUUCCUUCAGGCAAUCCUCAAAGUGAAAUUUUAUACUGCUGGGGUGUAUCCUUCAGAACCAAUUGUUUCACUGAGAACCUGACUUGCAAUCAGCAGCAGCUUUAAGAUCAAAACUGCUGGAAAGUUGUUCUGAACUUCUGUGUUCAUGAAGAUUUCGACUGAUUGAACUGUGUACACUUGUAAAAUUGCACUUACGGAGGAAUUUGCAGCUGUAAUCACAAGAAUUGAUAUUCCAAAGGUGCAGAAAAGCAGCAAUCUUUUGGAUUCUUCAUUCCAGACUGGCGGCUUUUCAUCUCGAUGAAGUCAACCUCCAAAAUAUACUGGUUCCUUCUCUCUAAACUGAUCCCAGCUCCACCAUUCAGAUUGCUAGUGGGACUGCACAGCGCUUCAAUUACCUUUCUGUUGCACAAAUUGUCCUCUGGCAUGGCGCAGUUUUAGACAUUUUAAUUUGAAUUCGAACCUUGGCGCUUUCAAAGGUACAUAUUUAAACAUCUCGGAGUUGUUUUUGUUAUAGGAAUGGAAAUAUAUAUCCAUUGUUAAUAAUUAUUGUUGACAAGUAAUAGUUAUCCGAAUCCAUCGGUCAUAUUAGAAUGUGUAGUCAGGUUGACAUGUUUCCCUAAGGCUAACCAACUGCUGCAGCUCUCUGGCAGUUAAAGAAAGAAUGGUCAAAAACUCAAUUACCGCUUCCAUCAUAAGGCAUUUUAUACCUUAAGAUAUACAUUUCCAUUCAGCCUGAAGGAAAUGGGUGUUCCCAAUAUGUACUUUGCUUUCCCAACCUUUAAGUCAUUGAAAUUCAUGAUAAGGAGACGAUGACAGUGUUUAAUCAUGUUUUUUUUUUAAUAUAUAUAAGUGUAGGCAGGGAUGUAAAUGAGUUUUACCAUGCUGAAAUUGGAAGGUAACAAUUCAGAUAUUUUGUCUUUUUAUCAAAAAAUAAAAUCUCUUGCUGCUUGACCCUAAGUACUGUUGGAUGCUUAUGUAGGUGUGUCUGCUAGAAAGGAAAGAAGUCCUAGUGCCCUCUCAGAUUUAGUUUGUAGGUAUUUUGCUUGCUUACAGUCAUACAAUUCAGGUUUGAUCCUUGCCAAAAUCACAUUUACUUUGUUUUGUUUUGGUUGGUUUGUUUGUUUUUAUUUCAGUAUCAAUUUUUUUUUUUACUUCAUUAACUGCUGUUACAUGAAAAAAAAAAGAACUCCUCAAUAUUUAAAGGCCUUAAGCAUCUAUGAGCUUUUUUCUAAGUUGUUACAGAAUGUAUAAUUUUAUACUCCAUUUACUGUAUAUUGUACCCUCUGUAAUAUUGAUACGACAGAAAUUUGGCAGUUCCUUUUAGUGACACUGCAUAAGCAUGCUGACUGGAGAGGGAGAGUGAGUUCUGACUGUGUAUUUUGAUGCAUUGAAAUGUAAACCAUAUACACUUUAUGGUAGUCAAAUAUAUAUAGGGGUGAGCUUGUUUAAAAGUCCUGUGCAGUUACCAGACUCCCAGAGAAAGAGGGAAAUUAUUUUAGCAUUACGAGCCAUUAACAUGCCUAGGUAGUUACAUAUACAAUUCUAUGAUGGAUGAACACCCUGGAGUGCUCUGCUUGUCACAGUAGCCCCUGCUGAUCCAAAACCAUUUCAUUACCUCUCCUGUAUCGUUGUACAGGAGAGCUUAAAUAAAAUAAAUGACUGUUGGGAAUAAAAUUGAAAAGUAUAUUUUGUCAUUCUGUGGAGAAAUGAUUAAAAAAUGUUGGCAGGGAAGGAUUCUGUUCGGAUCAAAAUUUCAUUAGGAUAAACUAACUGUAGCAGCAACCAAGUAUCUCAGUAUUUUAGGAUGGAUUAAUAUUGUAUGAACUUGUGCUAGCAGGUGCAGGACAGAAGGCAGCAUCUUAAGGAGACUAUCGGGAACAGCGAAAAGUGUAAAUGUGCUGUUUUGUCAAAUCUGAAUCUGGCCUCUCUUUGGUCAAAAAUCUACAUCAUACUUCUCAAUGUUUGUUUACUUUGUUUCUUUGUUCUUAAGCCAACACUGAAAAUACUGUAUUGUAUAGAAAUGUAACGCUGCGUAUCAAUAAGUGACAAUAAAUGGAUUUUCAAAUAUGCUGAAUAGAUUACCUGCAGUAGGUUGAUGUUGUGAAUAUUUAUAGCCAGUGAAUAAAAUUGUAAUAUAAAAUAGA